CACCCGAGGCAUAUGGAAGUUCUCAGGCUAGGAAUUGAAUCAGAGCUGCAGCUACCAACCUAUACCACAGCCAUGCCAGAUCUGAGCUGUGUCUGCAGCCUAUACCAUAGCUCAUUGCAAUGCUGCAUCCUUAACCUGCUGAGUGAAGCCAGGGAUCAAACCUGCAUCCUCGUGGACACUAGUCAGGUCAUAACCCAUUGAGCCAUGAUGGGAACUCCCUGAAAUCACUUUUUAAUUUGUUACUGUUAUUAACAGUAAGUGAGUUAAAGCUGGGGCAGGGGGUGGCGGUGUGCUCCUGGAUAGUGACUGGGAAGGAGAAGUCUAGUUCUUCCCAAGAGAGCCACCUUUUCAGGUAGUAUUUCUAGAUUCCCUCUGCAGAGGCUUCCUGGAGGAGUCUUGUGACUGCUUCUUGUGACUGUCUUGCCCAGUCCUGUACAUUAAAAUGGCUCAUUUAGUCACUUAUGAUGGAGCAUGAUGGGGGAUAAUGUGAGAAAAAGAAUGUAUAUGUGUAUGCACGACUGGGUCACCUUGCUGUACAGUAGAAAAUUGGCAGAACACUGUAAACCAACUAUAAUGGAAAAAAUAAAAUCAUUUAAAAAAUAAAAUAGCUCAUCUAUCCACACUCCCGUAGGAAGCAAGUCCUAAUGGUACACUGGAGUUGUUAACAGCCUAGGUCUGGUCCUUUGUCAGUUCUGCAGCUGUGUUCCUUUCUCCAACCUGUUCUUGGAAUUCCCACUCCUUAAUUUCUAGCUCUUCCCCUCACUGCGGACUUAAAAUUUCUUCCUAAAAUGGUCAUAAUUAAUAGGGGCUGGGCAAGGACCACAGACAUGUUGGUUAUUCUAUGAGCAACCAAGCAUUUGCCUCGUUCAUAGUGGCUUGUUGAGGCACAGUGUGUGGUGUUUGGAGAAGUGGUUGGUAUUUUUAAAGUGUUAAAAGAACUUAAAUUCCUAUGAUUUUAGGCAGGUGGAAAAGCUUUAAUGCAAAGAUGGUGAAAGCAAAGUGCCCUGAGCAGGAGCUCAGGAGAUGAAGCUUCUAUUGAUUUUAUUCCUGGUUUUUAAGACCCUAGCUGUAAAACCUUGGGCAAAUGCCUCCUAGUUCUGGAUCUUAAGAACCCUCCUCCAGGGAUCCCUGUAAUUCAACCUUGUUUCCCAUCUUCAGUACAGAGCCAGGCUCCUGGUAAAACUCAGUAAAGGAUUGCCAAAUAGAAGAGGACUUUGUCUCAUUUAUAACAUGAGACACUUGGAAUAAAACAAGACAAUUAGCAAGAAAUAUUCUGGUCUUGACAUCAUCUGACUUCAUGGCCUUAAUCUCUAAUUUUUAAUAGCAUUGACAAACCAUGAAAAUAGAGGCCUAACAUUUGUGUCUUACUUAACUAUUUACAAAACUCUUUCACAUAUUUUAGCUCAAUAAAAUCAAUAAAAUUAGCAAUACUGAGAUCUAGGUCUAAUUGCUUACAUUUUAAGGAAGAUACUGAAGCUACAGACAGGUGCUAAUAAAGUCACAGAGCCUGGAUUUCAAUCCAAAUCACCUAAUAGCAAAUCAAUUGCUUUUCCCAUCCUCUUUACUUCUUGUCCCACCAUUUGAAGAACCGUAUUUUUCUUAUCUGUGUCACAUCUCUCUUUAGUGUUUGGCCCUCCUCUUUCUGAGGUACAACAUUGCAACAUAGCCUGUUGUGGAACUUCAGAUGAGAGAAUGCAGCUUCUUUGAAGACUCUAAGACAUGUAUAUGUACAGCCCAUCUAGCAAUAAAAAUAAUGACAUUUUGAAAACCUCUGGUCUUUCCAUUAUCCCCUGUGAUGGUGAACAUGCAUUUGCAAGGAUCCAGUCUUCUGUCAGAAGAGCGUGAACAGUCCAUUGCCCAGAAUCACUUGCAGAAAUAAGCGCGCGGGCACACGCGCGCACACACACACACUCUCUCUCUCUCUCUCUCUCUCUCUCUCUCUCUCUCUCUCUCUCUCUCUCUCUCUCUCUCUCUCCCUCUCCCCCCCUGCAUCCAGAUUCUGAGACAGCAUAGGAAAGCCCAGUUUUAAACAUUCUAUCAGAGUUCUUUGGGUAAAGGCUCAAUUACAUUAAAAUUAGCAGCCAGCUAACAAGGCUAAAGGAGUUAGCAGGCAAAUACAAUGUGCUCUUUGACAGUAGCUCCAAGAACUAUAGGUCAGCUACUACUUCUGUUGGGAAAAUAACAUUAGGGGAACAUUUGUAAAGGACCUAUCAUUGUCUUGAUAAGUUGAUACUGAAACUGGUAAUCAGUGAAAUUGGAGGCAUCCUAUUUCCUAUUUGAAUAGAAGUGAGGCGGAGACACAAAGAGAGAGUGCAUCUCAAUUUAUCCUAGUGUUUCCUGAUGCAGAUCUCUCAAGCCAGUAUCUCUUACUUAGUUAGACCUUAGGUAGCUUCCAGGGAAAGUCAGUGAUACAGUGCAUGAUAAGAAGUAAUUAUACGAGAUUAGAUUAGCUGAUUUCCCCUGUAUAAAAGCAGGCACACACAAUAGAAGUUCUUAUUGCAUAAACAAAUGGAAAAAUCUUUAAGUGAAUUCCUGAAACAUACCUUUUCGAAGAGUGAAAUUUUCUUUGCCGUGCAGUGCAAUAACUUUCAAUGACUAAAC
This 2601-nucleotide long non-coding RNA is filed under the name Sus scrofa (pig). RNAcentral's name for it is "lncRNA (ENSSSCG00000062363.1)". Lineage: Eukaryota; Metazoa; Chordata; Mammalia; Artiodactyla; Suidae. The record is from RNAcentral.